RNAcentral lists this ribosomal RNA (497 nucleotides) under uncultured bacterium. Its description in RNAcentral is "partial 16S ribosomal RNA". It matches the Rfam family "Bacterial small subunit ribosomal RNA", at positions 28 to 507 of the family's 1533-position model. The record is from RNAcentral.
GAUGAACGCUGGCGGCGUGCCUAAUACAUGCAAGUCGAGCGAACGGACGAGAAGCUUGCUUCUCUGAUGUUAGCGGCGGACGGGUGAGUAACACGUGGAUAACCUACCUAUAAGACUGGGAUAACUUCGGGAAACCGUAGCUAAUACCGGAUAAUAUUUUGAACCGCAUGGUUCAAAAGUGAAAGACGGUCUUGCUGUCACUUAUAGAUGGAUCCGCGCUGCAUUAGCUAGUUGGUAAGGUAACGGCUUACCAAGGCAACGAUGCAUAGCCGACCUGGGAGGGUGAGCGGCCACACUGGCACUGAGACACGGUCCAGACUCCUACGGGAGGCAGCAGUAGGGAAUCUUCAGCAAUGGGCGAAAGCCUGACGGAGCAACGCCGCGUGAGUGAUGAAGGUCUUCGGAUCGUAAAACUCUGUUAUUAGGGAAGAACAUAUGUGUAAGUAACUGUGCACAUCUUGACGGUACCUAAUCAGAAAGCCACGGCUAACUACGUG